RNAcentral lists this ribosomal RNA (459 nucleotides) under uncultured bacterium. Its description in RNAcentral is "partial 16S ribosomal RNA". It matches the Rfam family "Bacterial small subunit ribosomal RNA", at positions 338 to 795 of the family's 1533-position model. The record is from RNAcentral.
CCUACGGGCGGCAGCAGUGAGGAAUAUUGGUCAAUGGUCGGGAGACUGAACCAGCCAAGCCGCGUGAGGGAUGAAGGUACAGAGUAUCGUAAACCUCUUUUGUCAGGGAACAAAGGCGGGGACGUGUCCCCGGAUGAGUGUACCUGAAGAAAAAGCAUCGGCUAACUCCGUGCCAGCAGCCGCGGUAAUACGGAGGAUGCGAGCGUUAUCCGGAUUUAUUGGGUUUAAAGGGUGCGCAGGCGGUCUGUUAAGUCAGCGGUAAAAGCCCGGGGCCCAACCCCGGCCUGCCGUUGAAACUGGCAGUCUCGAGUUGGAGAGAAGUAUGCGGAAUGCGCGGUGUAGCGGUGAAAUGCAUAGAUAUCGCGCAGAACUCCGAUUGCGAAGGCAGCAUGCCGGCUCCACACUGACGCUGAGGCACGAAAGCGUGGGUAUCGAACAGGAUUAGAUACCCGUGUAGUC